Molecule: long non-coding RNA, 288 nt
Organism: Sarcophilus harrisii (Tasmanian devil)
Lineage: Eukaryota; Metazoa; Chordata; Mammalia; Dasyuromorphia; Dasyuridae
Exons: 3
Source: RefSeq, a predicted model, not a curated record
ACGCCAGGUAACUUAUCUUCGCGGGAGCGCGCGACGGGAGAAUUGGUUUCCCCUUCCCCAUUGCCGGCGGACACUUGGGCUCGUCCUCGCUGGCUUUGGGCAGGGACGAGGGUAAAACCAUCCCGCCGGAGGGGGGCGCGCGCCCGGAGCGGAAGCCUGCGUCCCCUGGGCCACUGAGUAAGGCGCUGCUCUGGGAGUGAGGAAGGAAGGAAGCUUAUUCAGCACUUGCUCCUGCUGUAUUCAGAGUCCUCUGUCCAGGAGUGCAGAGUCUGAGCAGCCUCGGGGCCC